RNAcentral lists this transfer RNA (73 nucleotides) under Hoeflea phototrophica DFL-43. It matches the Rfam family "tRNA". Rfam says of the family: Transfer RNA (tRNA) molecules are approximately 80 nucleotides in length. Their secondary structure includes four short double-helical elements and three loops (D, anti-codon, and T loops). Lineage: Bacteria; Pseudomonadati; Pseudomonadota; Alphaproteobacteria; Hyphomicrobiales; Rhizobiaceae. RNAcentral also lists the same sequence under 5 other names. The record is from Rfam by way of RNAcentral.
GGGUGUGUAGCUCAGUUGGUAGAGCAGCUGACUCUUAAUCAGCGGGUCCACGGUUCGAGCCCGUGCUCACCCA